ACACACACACAGAAAUGUUGCUCUGUAAAUGUUCUGCACACACGGUUAUGAUAAUGCCAUGUUAUUUUGGUCAUUUUAUUUGACAGCAUGAGAUUCUGGAUGUCGUGUAAAUUAUUUCAUUGUUUUGUUUUGCUCCCUCUCUGUUAGACCCUGUAUAGGUGUGUUUUAGAAGAUCUGUACGAGUUCCCCACGCUUGAGAAGGACCUGAAGGAGUUCCAGAAACUUCUGCGUCGCCGACACACUGUCGAUGACUGCCCUCCAAACCAAAAGAGUAAACAAAUGUAUCAUCAGUUGAGUUUGAAGGAAAACUGUUUGCAACCCCGAAGUCCUUCGACCGAUACUAGAGAGGGU
This is a long non-coding RNA of Notothenia coriiceps (black rockcod), 351 nucleotides long. RefSeq lists it as uncharacterized. NCBI's taxonomy places the organism in Eukaryota, Metazoa, Chordata, Actinopteri, Perciformes, Nototheniidae. The transcript is spliced from 3 exons. The record is from RefSeq and is a predicted model, not a curated record.